GGGAGGCUCCAGCACCAGAGCUCAACCCUGAGGUCCAAGUCCAAGUCAAGUCUCCAGUCUCUGAAGUCCAAGUCAAGUCUCAAGUCUCUGAAAUCCAAGUCAAGUCUUAAGUCCCUGAGGUCCAAGUCCAAGUCAAGUCUCUAGUCUCUGAAGUCCAAGUCCAAGUCAAGUCUCCAGUCUCUGAAGUCCAAGUCAAGUCUCAGGUUCCUGAUGUCACGUCCAAGCCUGCUGAUCCAGUUGACCAAGUUCCGCUAAUAUCUAAGCCUAACAACCAAGUUCUGCUCACGCCCAAGUCUACUGACAUGGCCGACCACGUUCUGCUCACACCCAAGUCUACUGACAUGGCCGACCAAGUUCUGCUCACGCCCAAGUCUAACGACACGGCCGACCAAGUUCUGCUCACGCCCAAGUCUAAUGACACGGCCGACCACGUUCUGCUCAAGCCCGAGUCUACUGACCCGGUCGCCCAAGUUCAGCCCAUGCCAAGUCUACCGACCCGGUCACCGAAGUUCAGCCCACGCCCAAGUCUACCGACCCGGUCACCCAAGUACAGCCCACGCCCAAGUCUACCGACACGACCACCCAAGUUCUGCCAAAGCCCGAGUCAGCUGACAUGCACAGCCAAGUUCUGCUCACGCCCGAGUCUGCUGACACGGACAAUCAAGCUCUGCUCACGUCCAUGUCUGCUGACAUGCACAACCAUGUGUCUGU
Long non-coding RNA from Ictalurus punctatus (channel catfish), 711 nucleotides. The record is from Ensembl. Lineage: Eukaryota; Metazoa; Chordata; Actinopteri; Siluriformes; Ictaluridae.